UACGAAGGGGGCUAGCGUUGUUCGGAUUUACUGGGCGUAAAGCGCACGUAGGCGGAUCUUUAAGUCAGAGGUGAAAUCCCAAGGCUCAACCUUGGAACUGCCUUUGAUACUGGGGAUCUUGAGUCCGGGAGAGGUGAGUGGAACUGCGAGUGUAGAGGUGAAAUUCGUAGAUAUUCGCAAGAACACCAGUGGCGAAGGCGGCUCACUGGCCCGGUACUGACGCUGAGGUGCGGAAAGCGUGGGGAGCAAACAGGG
Molecule: ribosomal RNA, 255 nt
Filed under: uncultured bacterium
Lineage: Bacteria
Description: partial 16S ribosomal RNA
Rfam family: Bacterial small subunit ribosomal RNA
Source: RNAcentral